CAACUUGGAGGAACGUAUAGCUUCGGCUAGUUAUACUUGGCUGUUUAAUUUAUUAUUGAGAUUCAUUUAACUAACUUUCCCUGUUAUGUCUCUUGGGCAAUAGGUUAUUCAUUUUGACUUUUUUGUAUAUUAAUUUUUUUUUAAUAAUUAUAAAACGCAUCCUUUGAUGCACACGUCAGUGAUUUUUGUCAAUUAAUUUGUCGCUGAUCGUAAGAUUUAACUAAUUUAUUAGUUCAGUGAACAGUAUAACAUCGAUUUUAUCGAAUAAAGUUCUAGAUAGUACUAUGAUCAUGACAAUUUACUAUCUAUAUGUCUUGACCAAAUUACGUGCCAGCAGUCGCGGCAAUACGUAGAAGACUAGUGUUAUUCAUCUUUAGUAGGUUUAAAGGGUACCUAGACGGUAUAAUUAGUCUUAAAUAAGAUACGGUUAUACUAGAGUUAUAUUUGAGGAGGUGAGUAUUCAUGGAGUAGAGUUGAAAUUCAUUGAUACCAUGAGGACUGGUAACGGCGAAAGCAAUCUCUUAUCUAUUAACUGACGUUGAGGGACGAAGGCUUGGGUAACGAACAGGAUUAGAUACCCUAGUAGUCCUUGCAGAAAAUUAUAAAUGCCAUAGAUUAGAUUUUUUUUAGUCUAUUAAUGAAAGUGUAAGCAUUUCACCUCAAGAGUAAUGUGGCAACGCAGAAACUGAAAUCAUUAGACCGUUUCUGAAACCA
RNAcentral lists this ribosomal RNA (714 nucleotides) under Gremmeniella abietina. RNAcentral describes it as "SSU rRNA". The stretch from base 197 to 714 matches the Rfam family "Bacterial small subunit ribosomal RNA", at positions 1 to 928 of the family's 1533-position model. Lineage: Eukaryota; Fungi; Ascomycota; Leotiomycetes; Helotiales; Godroniaceae. The record is from RNAcentral.